GCGACCCCAGGUCAGGCGGGACCACCCGCUGAAUUUAA
Molecule: ribosomal RNA, 38 nt
Filed under: Corydalis aurea
Lineage: Eukaryota; Viridiplantae; Streptophyta; Magnoliopsida; Ranunculales; Papaveraceae
Description: partial 26S ribosomal RNA
Source: RNAcentral